CACCGCGGUUACACGGGUAACCCAAGUUGUUAAACCACGGCGUAAAGAGUGAUUAAGAAAUACUUUAUGCUAAAGCCGAAUACUUACAAAGCCGUUAUACGCACCUGAAAGUAAGAAGCCCAGUCACGAAAGUGGCUUUACAUCUUCUGAGCCCACGUAAGCUAUGAUA
This 169-nucleotide ribosomal RNA is filed under the name Hoplolatilus starcki. RNAcentral describes it as "partial 12S rRNA". Lineage: Eukaryota; Metazoa; Chordata; Actinopteri; Malacanthidae. The record is from RNAcentral.